This 114-nucleotide ribosomal RNA is filed under the name Acanthosepion pharaonis. Lineage: Eukaryota; Metazoa; Mollusca; Cephalopoda; Sepiida; Sepiidae. The record is from RNAcentral.
UUACGGUCAAAUCACGCUGAAACACCGGUUCUCGUACGAUCACCGAAGUUAAGCAUUGUAGAGCCAGGUCAGUACUUAGAUGGGGGACCGCUUGGGAACACCUGGUACUGUAAG